This is a non-coding RNA of Macaca mulatta (Rhesus monkey), 1936 nucleotides long. The record is from RefSeq and is a predicted model, not a curated record. NCBI's taxonomy places the organism in Eukaryota, Metazoa, Chordata, Mammalia, Primates, Cercopithecidae.
GCACCUUGGCUGGGGUCCGGCGGGGCAGCCUGAGGAGAGGGCGCCGGCGGCGGCACCAACUGCAACAGCGAGGCCUCUUCUGGCUCGGGCGGUUACGCGGCUCCUUCGAGAGAAGAGUGAAAGCAUAUAUCAAAUUACCUGUGCACGGUGGAAAGAUAACAGCUUCCCCACCCAAUGAGCCAUCCAACACCCAGGCUACAAGCUGUAGAUCACUUUAUUGUCUGCACCCUCGGAAUGCUGUCUAGCCAUCUGUUAUAUAUUUUAAACAUGACGGUGCAGUGCCGGCUGUAUGACAAACCUUGGUUAUAACUCUGUCAUCCCGAUUAAAGUGGGCAGUGGCACAAUCAUGGCUUACUGCAACCUCAGCUUCCUAGGCUCAAGCGAUCCUACUACCUCAGCCUCCUGAGUAGCUGGGAAUACAGGCAAGUACCACCAUGCCCCACUAAUUAUUUUCUGUAGAGACAAGGCCUUACUAUGUUGUCCAGGCUGAUCUUAAACUCCCAGAGUCAAGUGAUCCUCCCGCCUCAGCCUCGCAAAGUGUUGGGUACAGGUAUGAGCCACCAUGCCAGGCCUGAAACAUAGUAUCCUUAAAUUUGUUUGUUCGACAACAGUUGUUACUGAGUCACCUCUCCCAUUCUCAAUUGAAAAAUGGGAAUGAGUAAAUUAUCGGUGUAAGGAUCUUUUGCUCCCUCCAGGACAAUUCAUUUUAUAAGCUUGAGAACCAUUUUCAUGGGUAGUAUGCUGUCCUUGCUAACUUCUUUCCCUUUCAAAACUGCUUUAUAUCUUCAUUUAAGUCUUACUUUGGAAGAGAGAGAGAGAGAGAGAGAGAGAGUGUGUGUGUGUGUGUGUGUGUGUGUGUGUCUUGGGGAGAAUACUAAGAGGCAGGAAGUCUUCCAAAUUCCCAUUUUUUUGCCAGUGAUUUUCCCUGGCAAAUCAAUAUAUUUCCUGCCUGUUGUCAUCAACAUUUGUAAAUAUUGACAUCUCUAAACAUUAAUGAAUUGGGUCCAAUUUUAAUAAUUUGAAUCUUUAUUGCACUACGAAUCAAAGAUAUUCACUGCUGAGUUACCAAUAGGUAACAUAACUGCAGAUUAGUGGUAGGUGCUAUUUUCAUGUGCUGUGGAUCCAGAGGACCUCUAUUUAAAAACUUAAUAUAGCUGUUUUCCAUGUCAGCCAUGAAAUGAUAAGUAAUAUCCUCCCAUCUUUUUCCCCCCAUCAUUUUUAUAAAUUAAAAAAAAAAGGAAAAUUUACUUGGAGGAGUAAAGUGUGUCAGAAUCUUCACUGAAAAAAUUUUGUAAAGCACAUACUCAUUGGAAAGUGACAAGAAUCCAUAAAGAACUGCAAGAAAAUAUGUUGUUUCUAAAGGAAGUUAAUUCUAAGGGAAGUUAACCCCAAAACCUACUUUAAAUUACAUUGCCUGUUUCACACUGUUUCAUCUACUUUUAUUACCUACCAGCUUUCUCUCACCCCUGAAAUGUCCCAUUUCUAACUGUGCCUUUAUAUUUUAAUCUACACCUCAACAAUAUUGAAAUAUGCAUCAUAGUUUUUUCUUAUGGAUAAAGUUUUGGGGAGUAGUCUGUGAAGAAAAUCCUUUUCAGGCACAUUAAAGGGAAUAUUUGCUAAGAUCAAGUUAGAAAAGAUUUACUCUGAAAAGAAAUUUUGAAGGGAGGGUUUAUGGAGUGAAGAACAGUUUCUGGAAUAGAACGUGAGCAUGGAAUACAUUUUCUGAAAAGCCACCAUUUUUUAGACUAUGUGAGGUAUUCAUAUGUGUAUAUGUGUGAAAGAGAAAGUGAGGGUGGCAGAAAUAGAGCUCAUCAUUUCUGCUACCAUCCAUAAUAAUUUUCAAGGAAUUCCAGAUGAUUCCUGACUAACUCAUUCUCUUCCUUUGGUAGUAAAAACAUAAUCCAUACAAGUAAAAAAAAAAAAAAAAAAAAAAAAA